Molecule: long non-coding RNA, 1027 nt
Filed under: Bos indicus x Bos taurus (hybrid cattle)
Lineage: Eukaryota; Metazoa; Chordata; Mammalia; Artiodactyla; Bovidae
Description: lncRNA (ENSBIXG00005013958.1)
Source: RNAcentral
GCCAGUGGGACCUUCCAGUCCCUCUCAAAACCAUCUGCAGCAGUAGUCACCUCGGUGAUCCCCAUAAAGAGCUGGGUCUUACUGUGGACAAAGCCCCAUCAUUAACCUGUGCAUAUUUUUCUUGUGCAGCAACAGAAACAUGAGGUCGGUCCAGCCUGGGGCAGUUUCUCUCCAAGAGAAGAUGGAGGAAGCACAGCUAAGUGACUGGAAAUUUGACAUGCCUUCAUGUCAAGAGAUACCUGUACCUCUUGGAAACAACAAGCCCUUUGUGGUACCUCAGUGGGAUCAUCAGUGGGGCAUGGCCCUCUCUUGGACAACGUUCUCAUGCUGCUUUGCAAAGAGAAUAUAUAACAGGAUUUGUACAGGGCUGCAAAUGCUGAAGAUGACAGUUAAGGAAAAUGAAAACUCCAUAAAAGGUAUGGGAUAAAGAUGUUCCAAAUAGAAGUAAGCUUUUAAAUACUUCUGUGCGACUGUGUUGGUAAUGAAGCCAUUGAUAGGUGUGUGGCAAGCUAACAAGAAUGGCUGAAAAGGAUUACCUUCACCUCUGGGCUUUUUUCACUGUAGUUAGAAUCAUCUCGAGUCCACAAUUCCUGUUGUGUUACAAAUCUUUUACAGCUAGACAGUUUUUAGGCCUAAGCAACUCUUAAGGUGAGCAAGGGAAAGAUUCACAAUGUCCUUCCUCGUGUAGGCUCAUGUCUGAGCCCAUCAUGGUGAGGCAGGACAACCCAUCUUGGAGUUUGUGAGGGAGCGGGAGAACUGACUAACCCAGAUAAUCAAAAACUCCCCUACCUCAUACUGUCCCUAGAAGGAAAUGUGCAAAUGAAAAUUCUGGCAUUUGAUUAUCCUUUUCAUAUCAAAACUGAAAUUUUAAAGGUUCUUUGCCUGUAAAGGAACUAUUGAUCCUUCAUCUUAAGGAAAAGGAAACAAACCAGCAAAGAACACAGCUAAACUCUUUAGAAGAGUUUUCUAACAGAGUCAUUUCUGAAUUUGAUGUAAUAAAAGUAUUCCAAGUGGCCUAUUACCCUCA